GACGAACGCUGGCGGCGUGCUUAACACAUGCAAGUCGAACGGUGACCCAGGGCUUGCCCUGGUGAUCAGUGGCGAACGGUGAGUAACACGUGGGCAACCUGCCCCUGACUUCGGGAUAACUCCUCGAAAGAGGAGCUAAUACCGGAUACGACCACUUCGGACAUCCGAUGGUGGUGGAAAGUUUUUCGGUCAGGGAUGGGCCCGCGGCCUAUCAGCUAGUUGGUGGGGUAAUGGCCUACCAAGGCGACGACGGGUAGCCGGCCUGAGAGGGCGACCGGCCACACUGGGACUGAGACACGGCCCAGACUCCUACGGGAGGCAGCAGUGGGGAAUAUUGCGCAAUGGGCGAAAGCCUGACGCAGCGACGCCGCGUGAGGGAUGAAGGCCUCGGUUGUAACUCUUUCAGCAGGGACGAAGCGAAAGUAGACGGUACCUGCAGAAGAAGACACCGGCUAACUACGUGCCAGCAGCCGCGGUAAU
RNAcentral lists this ribosomal RNA (480 nucleotides) under uncultured bacterium. RNAcentral's name for it is "bacterial SSU rRNA". It matches the Rfam family "Bacterial small subunit ribosomal RNA", at positions 28 to 524 of the family's 1533-position model. The record is from RNAcentral.